GCUCAGGACGAACGCUGGCGGCGUGCCUAAUACAUGCAAGUCGAGCGAAUCGAUGGGAGCUUGCUCCCUGAGAUUAGCGGCGGACGGGUGAGUAACACGUGGGCAACCUGCCUAUAAGACUGGGAUAACUUCGGGAAACCGGAGCUAAUACCGGAUACGUUCUUUUCUCGCAUGAGAGAAGAUGGAAAGACGGUUUACGCUGUCACUUAUAGAUGGGCCCGCGGCGCAUUAGCUAGUUGGUGAGGUAAUGGCUCACCAAGGCGACGAUGCGUAGCCGACCUGAGAGGGUGAUCGGCCACACUGGGACUGAGACACGGCCCAGACUCCUACGGGAGGCAGCAGUAGGGAAUCUUCCGCAAUGGACGAAAGUCUGACGGAGCAACGCCGCGUGAACGAAGAAGGCCUUCGGGUCGUAAAGUUCUGUUGUUAGGGAAGAACAAGUACCAGAGAACUGCUGGACCUGACGGA
RNAcentral lists this ribosomal RNA (468 nucleotides) under Lysinibacillus macroides. Its description in RNAcentral is "bacterial SSU rRNA". It matches the Rfam family "Bacterial small subunit ribosomal RNA", at positions 22 to 486 of the family's 1533-position model. Lineage: Bacteria; Bacillati; Bacillota; Bacilli; Caryophanales; Bacillaceae. The record is from RNAcentral.